UGGUUGUUGGUUUUUUUUUGGCAAGGUACUCAAUCACAUGAUAAGGCAAUCCAAUUUUCUGGUUUGCUUCCUGUCUUCUUUCCUCCUAAAUGGCUGAGCAUUUCUCACUGAGAUCACUACUGCAAUGUGUGCCAGAAUAUGUUUAAAAUAUGGUCCUGUAAAAAUAGAAAUCAGGUUUCUUUCUUUGAAGGCAGCAUUAAUUCUUCAUAUAUUCUGGGAUCUUGAAGAUUUCAGCUGAACAGAUUCAAAGUGAUCUUCUUUUUCCUUUGUUGCCAAGGACUUGAGCUUCCCCAGCAGUGACUGCUUAUUAGAAUAUACUAUUUCUUCUUCAUUAUCUUCCCC
RNAcentral lists this long non-coding RNA (342 nucleotides) under Gallus gallus (chicken). Lineage: Eukaryota; Metazoa; Chordata; Aves; Galliformes; Phasianidae. The record is from RNAcentral.